Long non-coding RNA from Ananas comosus (pineapple), 1894 nucleotides. RefSeq lists it as uncharacterized. NCBI's taxonomy places the organism in Eukaryota, Viridiplantae, Streptophyta, Magnoliopsida, Poales, Bromeliaceae. The transcript is spliced from 2 exons. The record is from RefSeq and is a predicted model, not a curated record.
AUAUAUAUACGGUUUAUUUUCAAUUUUUUAUUUCUAUAUAUAUGGUUUAUUUUCAAUUUUUGCAGAUGCGGACGCGAUAUUUGCUGAUGUGUCCCUGCUGCGGUCUUCGACGUCUCCUGCUCCACAGGAGAUUGCAGAGUUUAAGCGUGAAGAAAUUCCUGACUGUACUCUAUUUUGAUAGUCUGCAUGGUAGAUAGGAGUUUGGAGGCAGAGGCAGGGAAAAGGACCUCACCAUAAGUGCCUUUCGACACCAAGAUUUUCAAGAGCCAAAAUAAACUUGAGUAGCUUUCUGUGAAAAUGACCCAAACAUUGAGUAGCUUUCUGUGAGUAUUUGUACUCUAAAUCGAACUGCUUGUACAUGAGACAUGAAUUAGACCACAUCAACCUACGUGUACUCUAAAUCGUUCAUUUGCGACAUUUAAUAGGCUAUAUUUGAUUUGAACAACAUAAGAAACUAAACUCGAAUCUAAACCGAACAAUUUGCGACCUUUAAUAGGCUACAUUUGAUUCAAACAACACAAAAAAGUAAUCUCUUUUUUAAAAUGCCAAAUUUUGGGAUUAUUUCAGAUCAAUAAUGCACAAGAAUUAUGAUGAUCUGAAAUAAUUUCAAAAUUUGGCAUUUUAAAAAAGAGAUUAUUUUUUUGUGUUGUUUGAAUCAAAUGUAGCCUAUUAAAGGUCGCAAAUUGUUCGGUUUAGAUUCGAGUUUAGUUUCUUAUGUUGUUCAAAUCAAAUAUAGCCUAUUAAAUGUCGCAAAUGAACGAUUUAGAGUACAAGUAGGUUGAUGUGGUCUAAUUCAUGUCUCAUGUACAAGCAGUUCGAUUUAGAGUACAAAUACUCACAGAAAGCUACUCAAUGUUUGGGUCAUUUUCACAGAAAGCUACUCAAGUUUAUUUUGGCUCUUGAAAAUCUUGGCGUCGGAAGGCACUUAUGGUGAGGUCCUUUUCCCUGCCUCUGCCUCCAAACUCCUACACAAAGAUAGAAAAGGUUAAUAAAUGGACGGCAAAAUUCAAAUAAAUCAUAUACAUUAUGUCACAAGUUCCAUCUUGAUUUUUCAACACCUCACCUAUCUACCAUGCAGACUAUCAAAAUAGAGUCUAGUCAGGAAUUUCUUCACGCGUAAACUCUGCAAUCUCCUGUGGACCAGGAGACGUCAAAGACCGCAGCGGGGACACAUCAGCAAAUAUCGCGUCCGCAUUUGCAAAAAUUGAAAAUAAACCGUAUAUAUAGAAAUAAAAAAUUGAAAAUAAACCGUAUAUAUAUAUAUAUAUAUAUAAGUAUAUCUACGUACCAUCAGUGCCGGUCUCCUCCGCACCAUCAUCUCCUGAGCCGGUGCCGGUGACCCCCGAGCAUAUAUAUACGUACCAUCAGUGCCGGUCUCCUCCGCACCAUCAUCUCCUGAGCCGGUGCUGGUGACCCCUGAGCCGGUGCCGGUCUCCUCCGCAUCAUCAUCUCCUGAGCCGGUGCAGGUCUCCUCCGCACCAUCAUCUCCUGAGCCGGUGCCGGUGACCCCUGAGCCGGUGCCGGCUGGGAAUGUUGUUUCGCCGGUGCCGGUCUCCUCCGUUGUUGUUUCCAGCUCUGGAAAAGAGAAAAAAAAUCCUGUGAAAUAUGCUUCUGAGUAAAAGCACACUAGGGAGCUUGUUAUAGAAAAUAGUUCUAUAACAAUCCUGUGAAAUAUACUUCUGAGUAAAAGCACACUAGGGAGCUCCAAACCCCCCCUAACUUACAUUAGGCUACGAGAGAUUAUUGACAAAGGUAAACAAGUUGAUGGAUACAGUAAUUUACAAAUUUAUAGGGAUACAUACAACAAUCAAUGUGGGUUCUGUCACUGUGGGUGGGUGGUUCCUCUCAGGUGAUUUUGCGAGGUAAUUUGCUGGCUUGCCCUCGCUGACGAAUA